UACGUAGGGGGCAAGCGUUGUCCGGAUUUAUUGGGCGUAAAGAGCGUGUAGGCGGCCAGACAGGUCCGUUGUGAAAACUCGAGGCUCAACCUCGAGAUGUCGAUGGAAACCGUCUGGCUAGAGUCCGGAAGAGGAGUGUGGAAUUCCUGGUGUAGUGGUGAAAUGCGUAGAGAUCGGGAGGAACACCUGUGGCGAAGGCGGCCCCCUGGGCCGCACCUGACGCUGAGACGCGAAGGCGUGGGGAGCGAACGGG
Molecule: ribosomal RNA, 253 nt
Filed under: uncultured bacterium
Lineage: Bacteria
Description: partial 16S ribosomal RNA
Rfam family: Bacterial small subunit ribosomal RNA
Source: RNAcentral